UGGAGCAUGUGGUUUAAUUCGAUGCAACGCGAAGAACCUUACUUACUCUUGACAUCCAGAGAAUUUAGCAGAGAUGCUUUAGUGCCUUCGGGAACUUUGAGACAGGUGUUGCAUGGCUGUCGUCAGCUCGUGUUGUGAAAUGUUGGGUUAAGUCCCGCAACGAGCGCAACCCUUAUCCUUUGUUGCCAGCACAUUAUGGUGGGAACUCAAAGGAGACUGCCGGUGAUAAACCGGAGGAAGGUGGGGAUGACGUCAAGUCAUCAUGGCCCUUACGAGUAGGGCUACACACGUGCUACAAUGGCGUAUACAAAGAGAAGCGACCUCGCGAGAGCAAGCGGAACUCAUAAAGUACGUCGUAGUCCGGAUUGGAGUCUGCAACUCGACUCCAUGAAGUCGGAAUCGCUAGUAAUCGUAGAUCAGAAUGCUACGGUGAAUACGUUCCCGGGCCUUGUACACACCGCCCGUCACACCAUGGGAGUGGGUUGCAAAAGAAGUAGGUAGCUUAACCUUCGGGAGGGCGCUUACCACUUUGUGAUUCAUGACUGGGGUGAAGUCGUAACAAGGUAACCA
This 570-nucleotide ribosomal RNA is filed under the name uncultured Enterobacteriaceae bacterium. RNAcentral describes it as "bacterial SSU rRNA". It matches the Rfam family "Bacterial small subunit ribosomal RNA", at positions 933 to 1502 of the family's 1533-position model. Lineage: Bacteria; Pseudomonadati; Pseudomonadota; Gammaproteobacteria; Enterobacterales; Enterobacteriaceae. The record is from RNAcentral.